Molecule: ribosomal RNA, 830 nt
Filed under: Lactiplantibacillus plantarum
Lineage: Bacteria; Bacillati; Bacillota; Bacilli; Lactobacillales; Lactobacillaceae
Description: bacterial SSU rRNA
Rfam family: Bacterial small subunit ribosomal RNA
Source: RNAcentral
AACGAACUCUGGUAUUGAUUGGUGCUUGCAUCAUGAUUUACAUUUGAGUGAGUGGCGAACUGGUGAGUAACACGUGGGAAACCUGCCCAGAAGCGGGGGAUAACACCUGGAAACAGAUGCUAAUACCGCAUAACAACUUGGACCGCAUGGUCCGAGCUUGAAAGAUGGCUUCGGCUAUCACUUUUGGAUGGUCCCGCGGCGUAUUAGCUAGAUGGUGAGGUAACGGCUCACCAUGGCAAUGAUACGUAGCCGACCUGAGAGGGUAAUCGGCCACAUUGGGACUGAGACACGGCCCAAACUCCUACGGGAGGCAGCAGUAGGGAAUCUUCCACAAUGGACGAAAGUCUGAUGGAGCAACGCCGCGUGAGUGAAGAAGGGUUUCGGCUCGUAAAACUCUGUUGUUAAAGAAGAACAUAUCUGAGAGUAACUGUUCAGGUAUUGACGGUAUUUAACCAGAAAGCCACGGCUAACUACGUGCCAGCAGCCGCGGUAAUACGUAGGUGGCAAGCGUUGUCCGGAUUUAUUGGGCGUAAAGCGAGCGCAGGCGGUUUUUUAAGUCUGAUGUGAAAGCCUUCGGCUCAACCGAAGAAGUGCAUCGGAAACUGGGAAACUUGAGUGCAGAAGAGGACAGUGGAACUCCAUGUGUAGCGGUGAAAUGCGUAGAUAUAUGGAAGAACACCAGUGGCGAAGGCGGCUGUCUGGUCUGUAACUGACGCUGAGGCUCGAAAGUAUGGGUAGCAAACAGGAUUAGAUACCCUGGUAGUCCAUACCGUAAACGAUGAAUGCUAAGUGUUGGAGGGUUUCCGCCCUUCAGUGCUGCAGCUAACGCA